This is a long non-coding RNA of Corvus moneduloides (New Caledonian crow), 1655 nucleotides long. NCBI's taxonomy places the organism in Eukaryota, Metazoa, Chordata, Aves, Passeriformes, Corvidae. The record is from Ensembl.
GAUCACACUCUGGGAUGUGGUUUCUAAACUAGGUCGGCAAGACCUCGAAGGCUGUCUGAUAACCAUCAUUAAAGGGCUUUGCAGCCUUGGUGGGCCUUAGGGCCUGCAUAGGUAGCUGGAAAAAUUGGCUGGGAAAACAGCAGCCAACUUGGCUCCAUAAGGAAUAGUUAAUAAGGCUGUGAGAUGGAGAGGCACUUCUGAAUAGAAGCAGGGGCUAGCUGGGGCAGACUACAGGCACAAGGGUUUGCUUCACAGAAAUGAACCUACUUUCUGCUUUCUGGGUAAAUAGAUUGCAAACAGCCUGUCUAGCCCAAGACCCAAGGAGGGUAAAGCUUUAUAGGCUCAAGUAAGUGUAUAUUUAUGUAUGUAUAUUUAAUUCUGUUCUAUCUUCCCUAUUUUUUGACUAAGCUUUGCUUUCUUUCAGAUAAUUUUUUUUUCCAGGAGUAAAUUCUUGCAUAGUUAUGUCAAUUGAAUGAAGGACUCUGCAGCAUCUCAGGAAAAACAGUGACUGUAAGUAACUGAACUCUCUGGUGUGUCAGGUAGGACUGCAUGCUUGGUGCUGCAUACAGUAGGGUGAAGGAAUGGUAUAAAGUAGUCAUGCUUUUUUAACCCCAAGAAAGAUUUCUUACUUUUUUCCAGAAUACUUCUACAUUUGAUUUUAUCUCCCUCCUGUUUUACUGGGAAAGGUAUCUGGCCCCACAAACUACUCUGGAGAAAAAGGAAAAGCAAGUUAUUUUCUGGUUUUAUGACUACUAUACAGUGUUUCAGUUACUGGAUGGUUUCUUCCUGCAAGAAUAGAUUCAACAUAAAUCGAUGGAGUGUGGUAUCACUAAUUUGUAAGUAACAAAAAUAUCGACUUUUAUAGAAUUCACUGAACUUAAAGCUGAUGCUAUCCAUUUAAAUUGGUACCUAGUACUUGUCACAUUAUGAUAUAGGUGUGAAUAUGCUUUGCCAGGAUAUGUAUGCACAGCAGAGUAAGUACACACUUAAGUACACACCCACACAUCCCCAUAUGCUUUGAACAGAUCUAAAUGGUGACUGAAGGAUGAAGAAGGCUGAGCCACAUAAACAUUAUCCACAAUGACUAUUAAUUUCAAGGCAAGGCAAUAAUUUAUAAAGGUUGUUAGGAAGCAAUGUAAAUGCAAAUGCUCUUCUAAUAAGCGCCAGGAGUAUUACGUUGGGACGUGUUUGUGAUUCACCAGAGUGUGUUAAGCAGGGAAGAGCGUGGAUGAUUUCUGUGGAAGAUGGUGACAAGAGUAAAGAGGUGAAAACUGACAGGAAUGUGGCGUUCGGGGACUCAGUCCAAGGAAUAGCUCUAGCAUGGGCUGACUUAGCAGUGCAGUAAGCAGUGCUUGGUGCUGGAGCGAGGACGAGCAAUAUCUGGAAUAAUGAAUCAAUAAUUCAUUAUGGAAAAAUGCUACCAGCUGUAAACUUAAUUUGUAGAAUAAUGCCCUGCAGUAAUGCCAAAAGUUAUAAAUAUAUUCAUACUUUUUUUGAAACAGCUAGUACAAGCUGAAGCCAAAUGCUUCAGUCAUAUAUAAUAUAUAAUAAAGCUGACUUAUAAAAAAAAAAAGAAAAAGAAAAGGUUUCUGAUGGCAGUCAGUGAAAAUAAGGCAAUUAGUAUAGAAUCCUUAUACUGAAAAUAGCACAUUUAG